GAAGUAAAAGUCGUAACAAGGUYUCCGUUGGUGAACCAGCGGAGGGAUCAUUAGCGAGUUAAUUAUAAACUCCAAACCCGUGUGAACUUACCUAUCGUUGCCUCGGCAGGUCGUGCUGCACGGUACGGGAAGCUACCCUGCAGCUGACCUACCCUGGAGAGGAGCUACCCUGGAGUUGAGAGACACUCUGGAGAGAGGCUACCCUGGAGGUACGGAAAGCUGUCAACAGACCAGCACCUACCCUGCAGCACGCAACCAGGCCUGCCGAAGGACCCUUUAAACUCUGUUUUAUAGUUGUAUCUCUGAGAAAAACUUAAAAUAAGUUAAAACUUUCAACAACGGAUCUCUUGGUUCUGGCAUCGAUGAAGAACGCAGCGAAAUGCGAUAAGUAAUGUGAAUUGCAGAAUUCAGUGAAUCAUCGAAUCUUUGAACGCACAUUGCGCCUAAUGGUAUUCCGUUAGGCAUGCCUGUUCGAGCGUCAUUUCAACCUCCAAGCCCUAUUUGCUUGACGUUGGGAGCUUACAGCUGCUGUAACUCCUCAAAUUUAGUGGCGGAGCUAGGUCGUGCUCUGAGCGUAGUAAAUCUUAUUCUCGCUUCUGAGGCUACCCUGUAUCCUGCCGUAAAACCCCCCUAAAUUUUAUUCUGGUUGACCUCGGAUCAGGUAGGAAUACCCGCUGAACUUAAGCAUAUCAAUAAGCGGAGG
Molecule: ribosomal RNA, 703 nt
Filed under: fungal sp. ARIZ B158
Lineage: Eukaryota; Fungi
Description: eukaryotic LSU rRNA
Rfam family: 5.8S ribosomal RNA (bases 328-481)
Source: RNAcentral